UACGGGGGGGGCAAGCGUUGUUCGGAAUUACUGGGCGUAAAGGGCUCGUAGGCGGCCAACUAAGUCAGACGUGAAAUCCCUCGGCUUAACCGGGGAACUGCGUCUGAUACUGGAUGGCUUGAAUCCGGGAGAGGGAUGCGGAAUUCCAGGUGUAGCGGUGAAAUGCGUAGAUAUCUGGAGGAACACCGGUGGCGAAGGCGGCAUCCUGGACCGGUAUUGACGCUGAGGAGCGAAAGCCAGGGGAGCAAACAGG
RNAcentral lists this ribosomal RNA (253 nucleotides) under uncultured bacterium. RNAcentral describes it as "partial 16S ribosomal RNA". It matches the Rfam family "Bacterial small subunit ribosomal RNA", at positions 524 to 776 of the family's 1533-position model. The record is from RNAcentral.